GUGCUCACUUCGGCAGCACAUAUACUAAAAUUGUAACGAUAAAAGAUUAGCAUGGCGCCUGCACAAGAAUGACAUGCAAAUUCAUAAAGCGUUCCAUAUUUUU
Molecule: small nuclear RNA, 103 nt
Organism: Cervus hanglu yarkandensis (Yarkand deer)
Lineage: Eukaryota; Metazoa; Chordata; Mammalia; Artiodactyla; Cervidae
Source: Ensembl